GACCUCGUAGCUCAAUUGGAUAGAGCAAUUCCCUUCUAAGGAAUAGGUUGCGUGUUCAAAUCACGCCGAGGUCG
RNAcentral lists this transfer RNA (74 nucleotides) under Candidatus Woesebacteria bacterium. RNAcentral's name for it is "tRNA-Arg". It matches the Rfam family "tRNA". Rfam says of the family: Transfer RNA (tRNA) molecules are approximately 80 nucleotides in length. Their secondary structure includes four short double-helical elements and three loops (D, anti-codon, and T loops). Lineage: Bacteria; Candidatus Woeseibacteriota. The record is from RNAcentral.